CGGGACUUUAGCAACUUCCAGC
This 22-nucleotide microRNA is filed under the name Eisenia fetida (common brandling worm). RNAcentral's name for it is "Efe-Mir-1990-P2_3p* (star (passenger))". Lineage: Eukaryota; Metazoa; Annelida; Clitellata; Crassiclitellata; Lumbricidae. The record is from RNAcentral.